GUCAAUUAUGAGCUCGAUUGUUUAGCUCGCGAGCUUACUCGUGAAUCGAGCAUGUAGUUUUAUUAGAUUACGACUUUUUAUUGUUCUUUCCAUGCACUAUUAUGACGAUAAUAUAUUAGAAAAGAUGGUAGUUAGCUUUAUACAAAUUAGUCUAAGGUAAGCAAGUUGGAUUCGAGCUCAAAACUCAUGCUCGGCUCAUAAAAGUUGGUUUUCGUUUCAAGUGCGAACCGAGCUCGAUUAUAAUGGUAAUGGUUUUUGUGACAAAAUCCCAAUUGCUAACUGGAGAUGCCAAACUAGUCAUAUUCAUCCUUUUCGUCUAUCGAGUUGACAAUCUCAUUGGUGUGUUUGUGUGGUUGUUCGCAGCAUCCGGACUGUCGGGAAGCAAAGAGGCAGCACAAAGUCAGAUAUCAGUAGGCAUGGGAAUGAUGGCCGGAUCAAACGUAAUGAUGCUCACCGUGUUGUGGGGAUCCUGCCUCAUAAUCGGAAACGUGGACAUUACAGCCUCUGCAUCUGCAGAUUCAGGAAAUCCACCACGACUUUGGCUGUCCAGUAAUCCCUGGUUCACUUUUCUUCGUUUCUGAUGCUUAGUUUUGCUCCUUCCUACAUUGACAUUUGUCUGUGUUUCCAGAAC
This 631-nucleotide long non-coding RNA is filed under the name Linum usitatissimum (flax). RNAcentral's name for it is "long non-coding RNA (LUSI_LNC007708)". The record is from RNAcentral. Lineage: Eukaryota; Viridiplantae; Streptophyta; Magnoliopsida; Malpighiales; Linaceae.